Molecule: non-coding RNA, 695 nt
Filed under: Pongo abelii (Sumatran orangutan)
Lineage: Eukaryota; Metazoa; Chordata; Mammalia; Primates; Hominidae
Source: RNAcentral
GUCUCUUAUUGUGAGGUAUCACCUGGAGUUCUUUGUCUCAUGACCAAGAAAAUUAAGGAGCGUGGAUGCAAAUGGUGAAGUUGCAGCGAAAGUUUAAUAAGCAAAAGAAGAAAGCUCUCCACAGUGGAGAGGGGACCCGGAGGAGGGUUGCUGUUUUUACAGGGGGUGACCUUUAUCUUCAUGGCCCAGUGUGGCUGCAAGAGCUCUAGCAUCCAAGUUCCCAGCAGAAGGAUGGAGGACUGGCUGGAAAAACAAGGACACACAGGGUAUGCAUCAGAGUCCCCUCUUGUUGCCCAGGCUGGAGUGCAGCAGCAUGAUUACAGCUCACAUCAGCCUCGACCUCCCGGGCUCAAGCUAUCCUCCUACCUCAGCCUCCCAAGUAGCUGGGACUAUAGGAUCUUUCUGCUGAUGCAGCUGUUAAGAGUGUUUCAUAAACUGUGACACUGAGCAAAAUCAUAGAAGGAAACUCUAUGGACAAUUUCAGAUGGAGAAGAAGAAAGGAUUGGAAGUUCAAUUUGGCCAUGACAAUUAGACUUGAAGAAGCUGAGUGAGAAGGCCAUGCGGAUAUCUUGGAGAAGUGCAUUCCAGGAAGAGGAAAAGCCAGUGCAGAGACACUGAAGCAGGGCAUGACUGAUGUGUGUAAGGAGCUCAUAUAUAUGAUCAUCUACAGUCCACUGAGGAGAAUAGCAGACGAG